Molecule: long non-coding RNA, 1755 nt
Organism: Choloepus didactylus (southern two-toed sloth)
Lineage: Eukaryota; Metazoa; Chordata; Mammalia; Pilosa; Megalonychidae
Exons: 4
Source: RefSeq, a predicted model, not a curated record
CGGGCCCGGCAGGCGCGGGCCCGGCACUCACGUCCUCUUGAAGAUGCCCCCGAGGGCGCUGCCCAGCAGGAGGCAGAGCUGCUGCGAGAAGAAGACCCAGGAGAUCUGGGACAGCGAGCUGUGAGUCUGGCAGCGCAGGUCCAGCAGCGUGGGCCCCAGGAAGGCGAUGCACAGGCCGAAGCUGAAGAAGACGCUCCAGUAGGAGACCAACCAGGAGCCGCUCUGUACCCCCACCUCUUCUCCUCUCCAGCCAACCGUCUCACUAGCCUCCUUAUAGAACUCCCCAGGGUCAGAGGGCCCUGAGAGCCCAUUUUAGAGCUGGGCAAACUGAGGAGCCGAGACGCCCCAUAUGUACACGGAAAGGUUAGAGGGCGGGAUCUUCCAGCGCUUCGCGCAGGCUCUGGAGAGCUGCAAGUCAACGGUCCCCAGAUACCAACCUGACCUGGGGUUCAGCGGUGGAGGAAACCCCGAGCCCUCACCCCUUAAACCUAGGGGCUUCGCAGAUGGACUUGGAACGUCAGACAGCGCCCCACCUCUGCCUCAGGAAUAAAAUCUUGGCCCCAAGGCAACGGACCCCGUGGUUUGCUCAUCACAGGGUGCCCAGAUUUCCUGACCCCUUGAUGGGAGCUGUUUGCCCUACACUGUACAGCACUUGUAGCUGGAAAGCUGAUAAGAAAGAAAUCAACUGCACAGCAUAGACCACAGGAGCCUCACUUAUUUUUGGUUUGGAUUCCUCCUCUCUGCCAACGUGCUUUGGAUCCCAACUCAGCCUCCCAGCACUACCUCCAGUAGUUCCUGUGUUUAAGGAUGGCAUCUAAUAUUCAUGAGGUAUGAUUACUAUGAGUCAUCCUAAUCAUUGAGAAAAAUAUUAGGCAUAACACACCACUUCUCCCAUUUCUCCUUUGCCUGAUUAACUUUCCCUGCAGGUCCAGGUUAGCUCGUACUUCUGCUGGAAGCUUCCCUCCUGCCCAGAGCUGCCUCAGGUGCCUGUUUUGAGUUCCCUCAGUCUCUUCACCAACCACUGGCCCAUGUGAUCCACCUGCUGAGCUGUCCAUAACCCCUACUGACUUCAGCUCUUUGAGGAUAGAGAUUGGGUCACACAUUAAUCUCUCUGUCCCAGGGGCAUGGCACAGCACCUGCCUGGCACAUGGCAUGCAUUCAGAAAAUAUUAGCUGCACAAAUAUAUGUUGAAUAUAACUUUUAAUUUAUGGAAAACUCUGAGGCAAGAAAUAAUCAUGGAGGAUUUCAUAAAGGAUAUACAGUUCAUCUAUUUACUCAGUGGUUCUCACACUGCAGUAUGUUAGAAUCACCUGGAAGUUUAACAAAUUCAGAAUCUCUAGUGGUGGAGUCCUGCAUUGGUAUUUCGCAAAAGCUCCCUGGGGCUUUCUAAUGGGCAGCCAAGGCUGGAAACCACUGCUCCUGAGAAUGUACAUUUACCGACCGGGAACUGCCUGCAUAUCCUGUACCAUUUAAAGCCCCUCACUAAAGUGCCUUUGUUGGAUGAUACUUUGACUUUAUGCCUAGUUGAGUGAUAUAACUAUGUGAGUCCUGUGAUGGAGUUACUGUGGGGAUGUUGGUUCCAAUCGGCCUUUUUAAUGAAGGCACAUGGGAGAAAUUUCUUUUGGGCAUCAGCACCAGGGAAAGCUGUGAUUUUCCUAAGCAACUAGUUCAUGUUUAUCUUACAGAUGCUGGGAAUUGUUUAAUUAACACUUUCCAAGUUUGUAGUAGCUGCUGGAAAGCUCACAGCCAAAGUUG